CAUGGGCUCUGGCACUUAGGCAGCCCGGCACAGACAGAGCGAGAUAGCGCUGCAAAGAGAGGAAGAAAGGAAGAAAGAAGGGGGCUGUCUCGGGGACAAUUCUCUGAGCAGCAACUUUCACAGCCAAUGCAGCCUCUGGUACUAUGGAAACUAAACCCCUGACCAAUGGAAAUAAUGGUGGCUACAAUGUGGCAGGAAGCUAGAGGUAGCCUCACCUCUGACGGCAGCCCAGAAGUCACCUGGCCCAUCUCUUAGGAAACUCACACAGCAGGUCACUGAGGGGCAUGAGAGCCUUGUCGGAGGCCAGCGCUGUUGCUUGCCGGACCCAGUGCUGGU
Long non-coding RNA from Oncorhynchus masou masou (cherry salmon), 336 nucleotides. RefSeq lists it as uncharacterized. Lineage: Eukaryota; Metazoa; Chordata; Actinopteri; Salmoniformes; Salmonidae. The record is from RefSeq and is a predicted model, not a curated record. The transcript has 3 exons.